Molecule: long non-coding RNA, 413 nt
Organism: Symphalangus syndactylus (siamang)
Lineage: Eukaryota; Metazoa; Chordata; Mammalia; Primates; Hylobatidae
Source: RefSeq, a predicted model, not a curated record
UCAGAGGGUGCCAUGCAGAAGACAUUUGAAAUGGAGUUGAGUUUUCAAACAUUCACAUCCUUUAUUUCAUAUGAGAAUGUGAGGGGAUGGGGACUCCUUUUAAAACAGAAGCUUUAAAAGACAGUAGCUAGAAUUUAUGCUGAAGUGGAGUAACAGGCUUUGGAGCUGAGCAGUGUCCUAAUGCAGGGAAAUUUGGAAGAACUUGAACAGCAUUCACUUUGAGCAAAUUGCAGGAUAUCAGAAACAACGGGGCAUCUGCCUUCCUUUUACAAUCCACCUUCCAGUGGGAUGAUAAACUCAAGGACCAAACAAUCACAACAGGCCCACUUGAGCUGGAGAAACAAUGGCCUGUAGCCGGUCCUAUGCCUCAGUGCGAAACAACAAUGCAGGCCUCUUGACGAAUUCUGGCGUCG